This 74-nucleotide transfer RNA is filed under the name Bacillota bacterium. Its description in RNAcentral is "tRNA-Gln". It matches the Rfam family "tRNA". Rfam says of the family: Transfer RNA (tRNA) molecules are approximately 80 nucleotides in length. Their secondary structure includes four short double-helical elements and three loops (D, anti-codon, and T loops). Lineage: Bacteria; Bacillati; Bacillota. RNAcentral also lists the same sequence under 1 other name. The record is from RNAcentral.
UGGGGGAUAGUCUAAGGGCAGGACAGAUGACUUUGACUCAUCCAGUCUAGGUUCGAAUCCUAGUCCCCCAGCCA